This 254-nucleotide ribosomal RNA is filed under the name uncultured bacterium. Its description in RNAcentral is "partial 16S ribosomal RNA". It matches the Rfam family "Bacterial small subunit ribosomal RNA", at positions 524 to 776 of the family's 1533-position model. The record is from RNAcentral.
UACGUAGGGUGCGAGCGUUAAUCGGAAUUACUGGGCGUAAAGCGUGCGCAGGCGGUCUGUUAAGACCGAUGUGAAAUCCCCGGGCUUAACCUGGGAACUGCAUUGGUGACUGGCAGGCUUUGAGUGUGGCAGAGGGAGGUAGAAUUCCACGUGUAGCAGUGAAAUGCGUAGAUAUCUGGAGGAACACCGGUGGCGAAGGCGGCAUCCUGGACCAACACUGACGCUGAGGAGCGAAAGCCAGGGGAGCAAACGGG